GCUGCGCAGCUACCAUGCAGUCGAGCGGAACGAAGAGGUGCUUGCACCUCUGGCGUCGAGCGGCGGACGGGUGAGUAAUGCUUGGGAAUAUGCCUUAUGGUGGGGGACAACAGUUGGAAACGACUGCUAAUACCGCAUGAUGUCUACGGACCAAAGUGGGGGACCUUCGGGCCUCACGCCAUAAGAUUAGCCCAAGUGGGAUUAGCUAGUUGGUGAGGUAAUGGCUCACCAAGGCGACGAUCCCUAGCUGGUUUGAGAGGAUGAUCAGCCACACUGGGACUGAGACACGGCCCAGACUCCUACGGGAGGCAGCAGUGGGGAAUAUUGCACAAUGGGCGCAAGCCUGAUGCAGCCAUGCCGCGUGUGUGAAGAAGGCCUUCGGGUUGUAAAGCACUUUCAGUAAGGAGGAAAGGUUAAGUGUUAAUAGCACUUAGCUGUGACGUUACUUACAGAAGAAGCACCGGCUAACUCCGUGCCAGCAGCCGCGGUAAUACGGAGGGUGCGAGCGUUAAUCGGAAUUACUGGGCGUAAAGCGUACGCAGGCGGUUUGUUAAGCGAGAUGUGAAAGCCCCGGGCUCAACCUGGGAACUGCAUUUCGAACUGGCAAACUAGAGUGUGAUAGAGGGUGGUAGAAUUUCAGGUGUAGCGGUGAAAUGCGUAGAGAUCUGAAGGAAUACCGAUGGCGAAGGCAGCCACCUGGGUCAACACUGACGCUCAUGUACGAAAGCGUGGGGAGCAAACAGGAUUAGAUAGCC
This 755-nucleotide ribosomal RNA is filed under the name Pseudoalteromonas sp. RNAcentral describes it as "bacterial SSU rRNA". It matches the Rfam family "Bacterial small subunit ribosomal RNA", at positions 39 to 787 of the family's 1533-position model. Lineage: Bacteria; Pseudomonadati; Pseudomonadota; Gammaproteobacteria; Alteromonadales; Pseudoalteromonadaceae. The record is from RNAcentral.